RNAcentral lists this ribosomal RNA (482 nucleotides) under uncultured bacterium. RNAcentral's name for it is "partial 16S ribosomal RNA". It matches the Rfam family "Bacterial small subunit ribosomal RNA", at positions 28 to 523 of the family's 1533-position model. The record is from RNAcentral.
GACGAACGCUGGCGGCGUGCUUAACACAUGCAAGUCGAACGAUGAAGCCCAGCUUGCUGGGUGGAUUAGUGGCGAACGGGUGAGUAACACGUGGGCAACCUGCCCCAAACUCUGGGAUAACUCCUCGAAAGAGGUGCUAAUACCGGAUACGAACUAGGUAGACAUCUGCACUAGUUGGAAAGUUUUUCGGUUUGGGAUGGGCCCGCGGCCUAUCAGCUUGUUGGUGAGGUAACGGCUCACCAAGGCUACGACGGGUAACCGGCCUGAGAGGGGGACAGGUCACACUGGGACUGAGACACGGCCCAGACUCCGACGGGAGGCAGCAGUGGGGAAUAUUGCGCAAUGGGCGAAAGCCUGACGCAGCGACGCCGCGUGAGGGAUGAAGGUCUUCGGAUCGUAAACCUCUUUCAGUAGGGACGAAGCGAAAGUGACGGUACCUAAAGAAGAAGCACCGGCUAACUACGUGCCAGCCGCCGCCGUAA